This 367-nucleotide transfer-messenger RNA is filed under the name Chitinophagaceae. RNAcentral describes it as "Flavipsychrobacter sp002127285 Standard tmRNA". It matches the Rfam family "transfer-messenger RNA". Rfam says of the family: Bacterial tmRNA, also known as 10Sa RNA or SsrA, is named for its dual tRNA and mRNA-like properties. Its role is to liberate the mRNA from a stalled ribosome. RNAcentral also lists the same sequence under 1 other name. The record is from RNAcentral. Lineage: Bacteria; Pseudomonadati; Bacteroidota; Chitinophagia; Chitinophagales.
GGGGCCGACUGGUUUUGACAGCAUAGGGCAGGGUAAGUAAGCAUGUCGUGCGUUGGAUAAUUAGCACGUAAAUCUGAAUAUUCAACUUUUAAAUGGCGAAUCUAACUUUGCCAUGGCUGCCUAAUUAAAUUAGCGCAACCAUUAUGGCCGCGGCUGGCUUUGGCCUGUUGACGCUACCGCCGCCUAACUCAACCAUCAAUAGGAUAGUCUCGUAGUGCUGCGCCUGCGGGGCGAAACUAAAGCAGAUAGGGAAAUUGUAGGUUCGUCCUGCUCCGGCAACUUUCCGAAAUCAAAUGCAGGAAUACACAUGUAGAAAGCUUAUCGGGCAUAUGUUUGGACGCGGGUUCGAAUCCCGCCGGUUCCACAA